This 495-nucleotide ribosomal RNA is filed under the name uncultured bacterium. RNAcentral describes it as "partial 16S ribosomal RNA". It matches the Rfam family "Bacterial small subunit ribosomal RNA", at positions 28 to 507 of the family's 1533-position model. The record is from RNAcentral.
GACGAACGCUGGCGGCGUGCCUAAUACAUGCAAGUAGAACGCUGAAGGAGGAGCUUGCUCUUCUGGAUGAUUUGCGAACGGGUGAGUAACGCGUAGGUAACCUGCCUGGUAGCGGGGGAUAACUAUUGGAAACGAUAGCUAAUACCGCAUAACAUUAGAUGUUGCAUGACAUUUGCUUAAAAGGUGCAAUUGCACCACUACCAGAUGGACCUGCGUUGUAUUAGCUAGUUGGUGGGGUAACGGCUCACCAAGGCGACGAUACAUAGCCGACCUGGGAGGGUGAACGGCCAAAAUGGGACUGAGAAACGGCCCAGAAUCCUACGGGAGGCAGCAGUAGGGAAUCUUCGGCAAUGGACGGAAGUCUGAACGAGCAAAGGCGCGUGAGUGAAGAAGGUUUUCGGAUCGUAAAGAUCUGUUGUAAGAGAAGAAAGAGUGUGAGAGUGGAAAGUUCACACUGUGACGGUAUCUUACCAGAAAGGGACGGCUAACUACGUG